This 1714-nucleotide long non-coding RNA is filed under the name Nicotiana tabacum (common tobacco). Its description in RNAcentral is "long non-coding RNA (NTAB_LNC005466)". Lineage: Eukaryota; Viridiplantae; Streptophyta; Magnoliopsida; Solanales; Solanaceae. The record is from RNAcentral.
AAAUAUUAAAAAGGAUUAGGGGAUGAAGCAGAAACUUCAGGAAACGGGAAAAUACAAAAGCAGGGAAGGAAAGAAAGAGAAAAGAAGAAAAGAGAGUAAGAAGAAGAAAGCUUUGGACAAAGGAUUUAAGAAGAACUGGGGGUUGAAAUUGAAUCCUUCGGCUCAAGAGGUUAACCUUCUUCUUAUCAGUUGAAUUAUUUUACUACAUCUACGCGAUUUCAUGUAGUACAAAAGAAUUUCAUAUCAGUUUUUUCAUAAAUAAUUAUUAUAGAUAGUAAGGCUAUAAAGGUUUGAUUUAGGUACUGAUAGGUUUAAUUUUGGAGAAAUAAAGUAUAUUAAAUAGUUUGAAGUUGAUAGAAUUAUGAACUAGUUCUAUGAUUAAAUAUAAAUACCUUUUUAUUUACAAGAUUUUUGGACUGAUUUAAAUUACUCAUAGUAUGGGUAAAUAGAAAUCCACAAUUAAGACUCAAACAUGAACCCCGAUGAUUGGGUUUUCUAAAAUAGCUAUGAAUUAGCCUAAAUAAGGAAAUUAACAUGAGAUCGAUAUUAUGUAAUUAUAGAUUGAUUGGAGAAAUUUGUAUGCAUUGCUCGAGGUGAAGCAUUUGGUAUUUCGGCACAAGUACUGUGGUAGUAAUCUUACCGCAAUUUGUGUUUUCAUAACUUGCAUGAUUUACACAUGAUUUUUAAUAUGAAUAUGUUACCGAUUAUUUUAAGUUACACGUGGGACAAGUCUUUUACUCGAUAUGAUACCGAAAUAGUUAUUUGAGAAGAUUACCGUUGUUUUAAAUAUUUUCGUUGUCACUAGAUCUGUUUUACCAUUACUUGAAUUUACUGUUAUCGAAAAGAAAUUAUAUGAUUCGAUAAGAACCGAAAUGGCCUAUAUUGUUUUAAGAUAUUUUCUAUGAGUAUAUACGGAUUACAGAGACAAGUAUAAAUGAGAGUAGAUAUUGAAGGAUCCCGUAGCUAACGGCGGGUUCGUUAGACCUGGUGUACCUUGUAAUUAUAGAUUACCGUUAUAGCCCUCGCUAGUGGGAAGGUAGAACUAGCAUACCGUUACUGAUUUCCCUCGAGUAGGGACUACCGUUAUAUUUGGCUUCUUGCGAAGAAGUCCACAGUUAUACCGAUUACAUGAUCCGUUCAUUAAAACCUCCCAAAUGUGAAUAUUGAUAUUAGACAGUGGUUACCGAGCUUAUUACCGAACUGUUACUUGUAUUAAUCUACAAAAAAGCAUGACGAGACUGAAAAUUAUUUAUUGUUCCUGAAAGGACAUUUUAUGUUAUUUUCUGUUUGAUAUACUAGCAUGUUUUCUGACUUAUCCCCAAUAAAAACGGUUGUGGUUAAGUGUUAUUACUCACUGAGCUAGUGACUCAUUUCCCGCUAAUAUUUUUUUACAGAGACAACAGUUAACGCAGGCGAGGAUUUCGUUAGUUAGAGCGCACGAGUUGAUAUUUCUCGGUGAGCCUCGCACUUGUUCGCGUGGGCAGAGAUUUUAUUUAUUGUAAUGGUCUUUUCAUUGAACUCUUAGAGUCGCUCCAUAGUCAUUAUUUUAGUGUCAUGAGUAUUCUUUUGUUAUUAUAGUCUUAUGUUGAGUAUCGCUCUCAUUUAUCAAAGUUGGAGAUAAAUUAAUAUUUCUAGUGGUGAGUUGGUGGUUUAUUUAUGGUGGAGACUUGUAUUGGUUAAUUGACAAGUUGUUAAUUGUUUGGUAUGAUAUUAG